UCAUGGUGGCGGCUGGGGGCAGCAGCCUCAUGGUGGUGGCUGG
This is a non-coding RNA of Tupaia tana (large tree shrew), 43 nucleotides long. The record is from Rfam. Lineage: Eukaryota; Metazoa; Chordata; Mammalia; Scandentia; Tupaiidae.